This 569-nucleotide long non-coding RNA is filed under the name Sus scrofa (pig). RNAcentral's name for it is "lncRNA (ENSSSCG00055014574.1)". Lineage: Eukaryota; Metazoa; Chordata; Mammalia; Artiodactyla; Suidae. The record is from RNAcentral.
AUUCAGCAAAGAUGCAGACCUUGAAGAUAGCUGACAUAUGGAAACUGUUAGAACGAGAUUAGAAGCUGCCAACAACCUUCAAUCAUCAUUACUCACAGUGAGUCCUGAUGAGUAAUGGGAUGAUCAGUUAGUUGUACCUCCAAGUACAUGGAGGAUACUCUCAAAGAGAGAGAGAGCUGAGCCUCCAGAGGCUGAAGGACUGUCAGAUGGAGUCUGAACUCCUUGUUCAACUGAAGAUCAACAAUCUUGAAAAACAGAAACUGCAUUGUGGGAUGACAUGAAUUCUCAAAGGAUCAGAACUGGACGCUGGGACAAGCCAUGAAUGGAGAAGAGAAGACCUUGAGGAGAGAAGAGUCAGGGAGGAAAGAAAAAUAAGGGACAAAAUAUAGCAGUAAGGAACAUUUUUGAUGAUUCCAGAUAGGCCUGGAAAUCAAGAUUCCUCAUGGCCCUGCUUAUAAAAGGGUAUCAGGGACUGGCAUCUUGGAGAGCACUCAGUGGAUAAUCAAUAGAUACUUACUGACCGAAUGACUGAUCGACUAAUGCACUUUUCAUUUGGAUUCCAAGUGCAG